RNAcentral lists this non-coding RNA (132 nucleotides) under Imperialibacter sp. EC-SDR9. Its description in RNAcentral is "SAM riboswitch aptamer (S box leader)". It matches the Rfam family "SAM riboswitch aptamer (S box leader)". From Rfam's summary of the family: The SAM riboswitch is found upstream of a number of genes which code for proteins involved in methionine or cysteine biosynthesis in Gram-positive bacteria. RNAcentral also lists the same sequence under 2 other names. Lineage: Bacteria; Pseudomonadati; Bacteroidota; Cytophagia; Cytophagales; Flammeovirgaceae. The record is from Rfam by way of RNAcentral.
CUCUUAUCAAGAAAGACUGAGGGAUGGGCCCUUUGAAGUCUUGGCAACCUUCCACCUCCCUGGGGAAUAGGUGCCAACUCCCACUUGGAGAACGUAAUGUGUAAAGCAUUAUUUAUCCGAGACAGAUAAGCG